RNAcentral lists this ribosomal RNA (408 nucleotides) under uncultured microorganism. Its description in RNAcentral is "bacterial SSU rRNA". It matches the Rfam family "Archaeal small subunit ribosomal RNA", at positions 330 to 745 of the family's 1478-position model. The record is from RNAcentral.
GUGCAGCAGGCGAGAAACUUUACAAUGUGCGAAAGCACGAUAAGGGAACUCUGAGUGCCUCCUAAGGAGGCUGUUCAGGUGUCUAAAAGCACCUGAAGGAAGGGCUGGGUAAGACCGGUGCCAGCCGCCGCGGUAACACCGGCAGCCCAAGUGGUAGCCACGUUUAUUGGGUCUAAAGCGUCCGUAGCCGGCUGGGUAAGUUCCUUGGGAAAUUUGGCUGCUUAACAGUCAAGCUUUCAGGGAAUACUGCCCGGCUUGGGACCGGGAGAGGUCAGAGGUACUCCAGGGGUAGGGGUGAAAUCCAUUAAUCCUUGGGGGACCACCGGUAGCGAAGGCGUCUGACCAGACCGGGUCCGACGGUGAGGGACGAAGGCUAGGGGCGCGAACCGGAUUAGAUACCCGUGUAGU